RNAcentral lists this long non-coding RNA (269 nucleotides) under Vigna radiata. RNAcentral's name for it is "long non-coding RNA (VRAD_LNC005759)". Lineage: Eukaryota; Viridiplantae; Streptophyta; Magnoliopsida; Fabales; Fabaceae. The record is from RNAcentral.
CAGAGUAUAACAACAAAGACAUUGAAUUCCCAUAACGAAACUUAUGUAUGCAGAGUUCUACAAUCUAAUUCAUCCAAAACAAAGACAAAACAGAGUACUCUUAAACCAAGAUGGAGAGAGUAUAACAACAACAAAAUUAAACUAAAAUGGAGAGCGUAUGGCAACAAGAAACCAAAAUAAUCUGAAUUAAACACAUUUUAAGAUUACAAGCUGCCCGCUUCCAAACCUCAACAAAAUAUGCUUGUGCAUUGAUAUAUAUUAAACCCCCC